GAGAACGGCCAUACUCCUACGGGAGGCAGCAAGCGGGGAAAUAUUGGCGCAAUGGACGGAAUCAGACGCAGCGAGCCGCGUAGGUGAGGAAAGCUUCGGGUAGUAAAGCCCUUUUCAAGGGGCAGCGAGACCGCGGCGNGUCCNCCUUAGGAAUAAGCAGUCGGCUAAACUACGUUGCCAGCAGCCGCGGUAAGACGUAGGACGCAAGCGUAUCCGGAUUUACUGGGCGUAAGCGCCAGUAGGCGGUCAAGUAAGUCGGAUGUGAAAGCCCCGUGCUCAACGCGGGGAAGCCAUUCGAUACUGCGUGACUAGAGAACGGCAGAGGGAAACGGAAUUUCUGGUGUAGCGCUAAAAUGCGCAGAGAUCAGAAAGAACACCGAUGGCGAAGGCAGUUUCCUAGGCCGCAUCUGACGCUGAGAGGCGAAAGCUAGGGGAGCAAACAGGAUUAGAGACCCUGGUAGUCCUAGCUGUAAACGAUGGAUGCUAGGUGUGGGCCGGAAAGGUCCGUGCCGUAGUUAACGCGAUAAGCAUCCCGCCUGGGGAGUACGGCCGCAAGGCUAAAACUCAAACGAAUUGACGGGGACCCGCACAAGCAGCGGAGCGUGUGGUUUAAUUCGAUGCUACACGCAGAACCUUACCUGGGCUUGACAUGUAGGUGGUAGUGAAGUGAAAGCGGAGCGACCCUUCGGGGAGCCUACACAGGUGCUGCAUGGCUGUCGUCAGCUCGUGCCGUGAGGUGUCGGGUUAAGUCCCGUAACGAGCGCAACCCUUGUCCUUAGUUACAAGUGUCUAAGGAGACUGCCGGUGACAAACCGGAGGAAGGUGGGGAUGACGUCAAGUCAGCAUGGCCCUUAUGUCCAGGGCGACACACACGCUACAAUGGUCGGUACAAUGGGCAGCGCAGCCGCGAGGUGAAGCGAAUCCCAACAAAGCCGAUCCCAGUUCGGAUUGCAGGCUGCAACCCGCCUGCAUGAAGCCGGAGUUGCUAGUAACCGCGCGUCAGCCAUAGUGCGGUGAAUACGUUCCCGGGUCUUGUACACACCGCCCGUCACGUCAUGGGAGUUGGUAACGCCUGAAGCCAGGUAGUCUGACCUAACGGAGGACGCCGUCGAAGGCGGGACUGGCGACUGGGACGAA
Molecule: ribosomal RNA, 1137 nt
Filed under: uncultured organism
Description: bacterial SSU rRNA
Rfam family: Bacterial small subunit ribosomal RNA
Source: RNAcentral